GACAGUAGACUUUACCUAGUU
Molecule: unclassified non-coding RNA, 21 nt
Filed under: Mus musculus (house mouse)
Lineage: Eukaryota; Metazoa; Chordata; Mammalia; Rodentia; Muridae
Description: oocyte_clustered_small_RNA1744
Source: RNAcentral